UACGGGGGGGGCAAGCGUUGUUCGGAAUCACUAGGCGUAAAGCGCAGGUAGGAGGUUUAGUAAGUCUGUUGUGAAAGCUCCCGGCUUAACUGGGAGAGGUCAACGGAAACUGCUAGGCUAGAGUGCGGUAGAGGUAGCUGGAAUUCCCGGUGUAGCGGUGAAAUGCGUAGAUAUCGGGAGGAAUACCUAUGGCGAAAGCAGGCUACUGGACCGUCACUGACUCUGAUCUGCGAAAGCUAGGGGAGCAAACAGG
Molecule: ribosomal RNA, 253 nt
Filed under: uncultured bacterium
Lineage: Bacteria
Description: partial 16S ribosomal RNA
Rfam family: Bacterial small subunit ribosomal RNA
Source: RNAcentral